This 1526-nucleotide ribosomal RNA is filed under the name Burkholderia cepacia. Its description in RNAcentral is "partial 23S ribosomal RNA". It matches the Rfam family "Bacterial large subunit ribosomal RNA", at positions 1 to 1579 of the family's 2925-position model. The record is from RNAcentral. RNAcentral also lists the same sequence under 1 other name. Lineage: Bacteria; Pseudomonadati; Pseudomonadota; Betaproteobacteria; Burkholderiales; Burkholderiaceae.
GGUCAAGCGAACAAGUGCAUGUGGUGGAUGCCUUGGCGAUCACAGGCGAUGAAGGACGCGGUAGCCUGCGAAAAGCUACGGGGAGCUGGCAAACGAGCUUUGAUCCGUAGAUGUCCGAAUGGGGAAACCCACUCCUUUUGGAGUAUCCAUGGCUGAAUACAUAGGCCAUGCGAAGCGAACGCGGUGAACUGAAACAUCUAAGUAACCGCAGGAAAAGAAAUCAACCGAGAUUCCCAAAGUAGUGGCGAGCGAAAUGGGAUGAGCCUUGCACUCUUUAUUUGUAUUGUUAGCCGAACGCUCUGGAAAGUGCGGCCAUAGCAGGUGAUAGCCCUGUAGGCGAAAACAGUAUGAAAGAACUAGGUGUGCGACAAGUAGGGCGGGACACGUGAAAUCCUGUCUGAAGAUGGGGGGACCAUCCUCCAAGGCUAAAUACUCGUGAUCGACCGAUAGUGAACCAGUACCGUGAGGGAAAGGCGAAAAGAACCCCGGGAGGGGAGUGAAAUAGAUCCUGAAACCGCAUGCAUACAAACAGUCGGAGCCUCGUAAGGGGUGACGGCGUACCUUUUGUAUAAUGGGUCAGCGACUUACGUUCAGUAGCAAGCUUAACCGUAUAGGGCAGGCGUAGCGAAAGCGAGUCCGAAUAGGGCGUUCAGUUGCUGGGCGUAGACCCGAAACCAGGUGAUCUAUCCAUGGCCAGGAUGAAGGUGCGGUAACACGUACUGGAGGUCCGAACCCACUAACGUUGAAAAGUUAGGGGAUGAGCUGUGGAUAGGGGUGAAAGGCUAAACAAACCUGGAAAUAGCUGGUUCUCUCCGAAAACUAUUUAGGUAGUGCCUCGUGUCUCACCUUCGGGGGUAGAGCACUGUCAUGGUUGGGGGGUCUAUUGCAGAUUACCCCGCCAUAGCAAACUCCGAAUACCGAAGAGUGCAAUCACGGGAGACAGACAUCGGGUGCUAACGUCCGGUGUCAAGAGGGAAACAACCCAGACCGCCAGCUAAGGUCCCCAAAUAUAGCUAAGUGGGAAACGAAGUGGGAAGGCUAAAACAGUCAGGAGGUUGGCUUAGAAGCAGCCACCCUUUAAAGAAAGCGUAAUAGCUCACUGAUCGAGUCGUCCUGCGCGGAAGAUGUAACGGGGCUAAGCUAUAUACCGAAGCUGCGGAUGCGUGCUUAGCACGCAUGGUAGGAGAGCGUUCCGUAAGCCUGCGAAGGUGCCUUGUAAAGGGUGCUGGAGGUAUCGGAAGUGCGAAUGCUGACAUGAGUAGCGAUAAAGGGGGUGAAAGGCCCCCUCGCCGUAAGCCCAAGGUUUCCUACGCAACGUUCAUCGGCGUAGGGUGAGUCGGCCCCUAAGGCGAGGCAGAAAUGCGUAGCUGAUGGGAAGCAGGUCAAUAUUCCUGCACCAUUGUUAGAUGCGAUGGGGGGACGGAUCGCGGAAGGUUGUCCGGGUGUUGGAAGUCCCGGUCGCUGCAUUGGAGAAGGCGCUUAGGCAAAUCCGGGCGCGUAAUUCAAGGGUGUGGCGCGAGCUCCUU